UACGGAGGGGGCAAGCGUUAUUCGGAAUUAUUGGGCGUAAAGGGCGCGUAGGCGGCUAGAUGUGUCAAAGGUGAAAUCCCUCGGCUCAACUGAGGAACUGCCUUUGAAACUGUCUGGCUUGAGGCCGGGAGAGGGUAGCGGAAUUCCCAGUGUAGCGGUGAAAUGCGUAGAUAUUGGGAGGAACACCAGUGGCGAAGGCGGCUACCUGGACCGGUUCUGACGCUGAGGCGCGAAGGCGUGGGUAGCAAACAGG
This 253-nucleotide ribosomal RNA is filed under the name uncultured bacterium. RNAcentral describes it as "partial 16S ribosomal RNA". It matches the Rfam family "Bacterial small subunit ribosomal RNA", at positions 524 to 776 of the family's 1533-position model. The record is from RNAcentral.